AAUCGGGGCAGGGUGAGUCGACCCCUAAGGCGAGGCCGAAAGGCGUAGUCGAUGGGAGACAGGUUAAUAUUCCUGUACUUGGUGUUACUGCGAAGGGGGGACGGAGAAGGCUAUGUUGGCCGGGCGACGGUUGUCCCGGUUUUAAGCGUGUAGGCUGGUUUUCCAGGCAAAUCCGGAAAAUCAAGGCUGAGGCGUGAUGACGAGGCACUACGGUGCUGAAGCAACAAAUGCCCUGCUUCCAGGAAAAACCUCUGAGCAUCAGGUAACAUCAAAUCGUACCCCAAACCGACACAGGUGGUCAGGUAGAGAAUACCAAGGCGCUUGAGAGAACUCGGGUGAAGGAACUAGGCAAAAUGGUGCCGUAACUUCGGGAGAAGGCACGCUGAUAUGUAGGUGAGGUCCCUCGCGGAUGGAGCUGAAAUCAGUCGAAGAUACCAGCUGGCUGCAACUGUUUAUUAAAAACACAGCACUGUGCAAACACGAAAGUGGACGUAUACGGUGUGACGCCUCCCCGGUGCCGGAAGGUUAAUUGAUGGGGUUAGCGCAAGCGAAGCUCUUGAUCGAAGCCCCGGUAAACGGCGGCCGUAACGAUAACGGUCCUAAGGUAGCGAAAUUCCUUGUCGGGUAGGUUCCGACCUGCACGAAUGGCGUAAUGAUGGCCAGGCUGUCUCCACCCGAGACUCAGUGAAAUUGAACUCGCUGUGAAGAUGCAGUGUACCCGCGGCAAGACGGAAAGACCCCGUGAACCUUUACUAUAGCUUGACACUGAACAUUGAGCCUUGAUGUGUAGGAUAGGUGGGAGGCUUUGAAGUGUGGACGCCAGUCUGCAUGGAGCCGACCUUGAAAUACCACCCUUUAAUGUUUGAUGUUCUAACGUUGACCCGUAAUCCGGGUUGCGGACAGUGUCUGGUGGGUAGUUUGACUGGGGCGGUCUCCUCCUAAAGAGUGACGGAGGAGCACGAAGGUUGGCUAAUCCUGGUCGGACAUCAGGAGGUUAGUGCAAUGGCAUAAGCCAGCUUGACUGCGAGCGUGACGGCGCGAGCAGGUGCGAAAGCAGGUCAUAGUGAUCCGGUGGUUCUGAAUGGAAGGGCCAUCGCUCAACGGAUAAAAGGUACUCCGGGGAUAACAGGCUGAUACCGCCCAAGAGUUCAUAUCGACGGCGGUGUUUGGCACCUCGAUGUCGGCUCAUCACAUCCUGGGGCUGAAGUAGGUCCCAAGGGUAUGGCUGUUCGCCAUUUAAAGUGGUACGCGAGCUGGGUUUAGAACGUCGUGAGACAGUUCGGUCCCUAUCUGCCGUGGGCGCUGGAGAACUGAGGGGGGCUGCUCCUAGUACGAGAGGACCGGAGUGGACGCAUCACUGGUGUUCGGGUUGUCAUGCCAAUGGCACUGCCCGGUAGCUAAAUGCGGAAGAGAUAAGUGCUGAAAGCAUCUAAGCACGAAACUCGCCCCGAGAUGAGUUCUCCCUGACCCUUUAAGGGUCCUGAAGGAACGUUGAAGACGACGACGCUGAUAGGCCGGGUGUGUAAGCGCAGCGAUGCGUUGAGCUAACCGGUACUAAUGAACC
Molecule: ribosomal RNA, 1564 nt
Filed under: metagenome
Description: bacterial LSU rRNA
Rfam family: Bacterial large subunit ribosomal RNA
Source: RNAcentral